RNAcentral lists this long non-coding RNA (273 nucleotides) under Mytilus galloprovincialis (Mediterranean mussel). Lineage: Eukaryota; Metazoa; Mollusca; Bivalvia; Mytilida; Mytilidae. The record is from RNAcentral.
GUUGAAUAUUUCUUGUUUUAAAUGUUUCUUUAUUCUUAAAUAUAAUGUUUCUUAUUUCAAAUAUCCAAAGAGAUUAUAGAUUUACUAUUUUACAACUUAAUCCGAUGGCUGUCAAGAGUGUGAGAGAUAAUACAUGUAUCUAACACUUGAACUACAAAAGCAAUUAUCGCUAUUUUAUAAAGUUUAGCCGGAGGACAAUAAUCCUAUUAUUAUUACAUAACAUUGGACAAGUAUAUUUAUAUUUUAUAAGAACCUUUUCAUGUUUUAAUACCC